Long non-coding RNA from Musa acuminata AAA Group (dessert banana), 2032 nucleotides. RefSeq lists it as uncharacterized. The record is from RefSeq and is a predicted model, not a curated record. The transcript has 2 exons. NCBI's taxonomy places the organism in Eukaryota, Viridiplantae, Streptophyta, Magnoliopsida, Zingiberales, Musaceae.
UCUAUGGGUGACUGCUUAUAUUUUCACCUUCUUGCUUUUCAUAAGGAAAUUGCAGAAUCCUUGGUUUUAGCUUUUUGUUUAUGUUGAGUUAUCGGAAUAUGCAGAUACAGCAUAAGGAAAGUUGGUGAAGUACACAUAAAACCAACGAGAAAUAAAUGUGUAUAUUUGGGUCAUACACAGGACCAGUUGUUUCCUUGUAUAUUUCACUCAUUACAUGAAGUCACCGGAUUAAAGUUUUUGUCAUUCUAAAUUGAAACGAAGGUUAGCAAACGUUGUUUUGAAGGUAUAGUAUCUAUUGGCUGACACUGCUUAUAUUUCUGCUAUCCUGCUCUUGAUAAGAUAAUUUGCAGAAUCCUUAGUUUUAGCUACUUAUUUGUGUUGUGGUUCUUGGAAAUGCAGAUGCAACACGAGGAAAUUUGGUGAACUCCACCUAAGACCAUCAAGUACUAAAUGUGUAAAUUUGGCUGGAAUUAUUUUCAAACCAGUGGUCAAGAGGAAGAAUUAAACUGGCCGAGCCUCUUCAAGACACAGUUCACAAGAGGUUGGAAAACUCAAACUGCUAUCUUAGUCAUGACAUAGCAGAUGAUCUCGGCAGUAAAUAAUAACUAGUAUUUACAUUGCACUCAAAUCUUUCUUUGCUCUUCUUAAGCGACGACAAUGAAGGGAAGAGAAAAGGAGAAGAAAGCUAGCAUCGCCCAAAAGAAAAAAAGCUAAGACGAGGAGAACUGGAAGUUGGACCUGAUGUUUGAAUGACUACAGGUGAAGAGUGGUGUCCACAUCUGGUUCGUUGCCAGACACCGGGCGGUGUGAAGUCGUCUGAUUGGGCCACAAGCCCAUUGACAGUGAGAUCUCGAGGGCCUGCAAGUCUGUGUGAUCACCAUGGUCGUCGAGCCAACACGAUGGUGGAGGACCACGGAUAGGCCUGGAUGGACGAACUAGAUCGGGAUGGACGAACCACACGGGUUGGGCACACUGAGCAUUCGAGUUUGGCCUCUCCCCAUGAGAGAAUGCCCGCUGCUGUUCCCUUUCUUCUCUCAUUUCUUUGAGUCUCUGCAGCUGUCUGAAUCUCUCCUGCAACAGAGCAAUGGAGGUCGGCUUGUUGUUCUGCCUCCCCAUGAGUCGGUAGUGGACUCGGAAUGCCAAUUCGGAGCAGGUGGAGCUGAGGGAGGCUGAGGUCUACAGGGGAGAGGAGAAUCCAGAGAGGGGAUGCAAAGUCCAAGAAGGAAAGGGUUUGUGGGCUAUCUAAGGAGUUAGGAUGGUGGAGGACGCGAGCAGGACCAGAGCCACUUUUCAAAGGCACAUAAAAGCGGGAGAGCAGUCCAAGGAUGCAUGGAGGUUAGCAUUUGGAUGCGAGCUUGCAGAGAAUAUAAGGUUAUCGUGAUGGAUUGUCCUCCUAUCAUACCUUUUUUUUUCUUCUUUCUUGAGCCUAAGAAAGAGAGAUUCCAACUCUUGUAUGGUUUGCCCUCCUCCUCCUCCUCCUCCUCUCAGCAGAUCAAUGUGGCUGCUGGACCCAGGAUCCAGAAUUGAAGUCAGUCGAAGCCAUGAAUAAAGGACUGGACCCUGGUUGAAAAGCUAGCACAACGUUGCUGUUGUGCAUCAGGUUCUUUGUAGUGCAUGCUUAGUCCUGGGAAUCUGAACCCAUAGCAGAUCCAAUGAGAAAAAGAAAAGUUCCAACUGAUGCCAUGAAAGGUAAUUUUAUGAGUGCCAGAUGAACCGGGGCCACGAUCGGCUGCACACAUAUGGUUGUUGUUCUCCUCUGCCCGAUUCCUCCAUUUCGAGUUCAUCCCAGGGUUCAUGCGGAUGGUGCCACUACUUGCUGCAAGCUCAAACUUGCAGCUGCAGGAGGAGGGUGUUUUGAAUUUGGUAAUGAUAUGGAAAUCAAUCAGCAUCACCAGGCCUGCUCUGCUCUGCACUGCAUGCACUGCACUGCGGGAGGGUUUCUUCAUGCAUCUCCGUGACUGCUAAUCCAUUCAAUGUAUAUCACCAAAUCAAUACUCUGGUUUGUUGUUUUCAAUGAAUUUGAGUUGCUAGA